RNAcentral lists this ribosomal RNA (492 nucleotides) under uncultured bacterium. RNAcentral describes it as "partial 16S ribosomal RNA". It matches the Rfam family "Bacterial small subunit ribosomal RNA", at positions 28 to 507 of the family's 1533-position model. The record is from RNAcentral.
GAUGAACGCUAGCUACAGGCUUAACACAUGCAAGUCGAGGGGAAACGACAUCGAAAGCUUGCUUUUGAUGGGCGUCGACCGGCGCACGGGUGAGUAACGCGUAUCCAACCUGCCCAUCACUUGGGAAUAACCUUGCGAAAGUAAGACUAAUACCCAAUGAUAUCCCACGAAGGCAUCGGAAUGGGAUUAAAGAUUUAUCGGUGAUGGAUGGGGAUGCGUCUGAUUAGCUUGUUGGCGGGGUCACGGCCCACCAAGGCAACGAUCAGUAGGGGUUCUGAGAGGAAGGUCCCCCACAUUGGAACUGAGACACGGUCCACACUCCUACGGGCGGCAGCAGUGAGGAAUAUUGUUCAAUGGGCGAGAGCCUGAACCAGCCAAGUAGCGUGCAGGAAGACGGCCCUCUGGGUUGUAAACUGCUUUUAUAAGGGAAUAAUGUGGGUCACGUGUGACUUUUUGCCUGUACCUUAUGAAUAAGGACCGGCUAAUUCCGUG